GGUCAUUUUGGCAAAACUAACGCACAAACUCCCUCUUCAUCCCUCAAAAAAUACAUCUCUCGGCUCUCUCCCUGACAAGACGAGAAGACAACAAAAAUCACUCUUCCUCCUCCAGUCCUCCCAAGUCACUCUCGGCUCUCUGUUUUCUCUCAACAGACAAGCCACAAGAGGAAAAAAAAGGAACUCUCCACUUUUUCUCCCAAUACAACCUCUCGGCUCUCUCUCUCGAAUCCCCCUCUCAUUUCUUUUAACAAGCCACAAAACACUCCCUCAAUCUUCUCUCGGCUCCAUCUCUGGCUCUCUCAAUCUCAUAUGCACCUAUUCUCGGAGCAAAGAAAGGUGAAGGAAGGAAAUGAAGACAACAAGCAAUUGGAGUGUGAGGUGUUGGAUUUCCUUCAAAAUUUUGACCGAAGAAGCUCUUGCUUGAGUUGAGGUAUUUUUCCAGCUUUAUUAACCAUGUCAAACCCAUAUUUUAUCGUUUAAUUUUCUGGCUUUUGCUGUCUUUUAUUGAUGUUUGUUGUGUUGUUCAAAAUUUGGGAAAUGGCUUGAGCUAGAUUAAGAAAAAGGAAAUAGUUUUUGUAUAUGCAUGCUAGGUGUUUGAAAAAAUGCCUAAAUAAAAAACCGAAUUAAAGUACCUAUUAUUGUGCAAUUUUUUUUUGUUAAAAUGAAUGAUUACAGCUAGUACAAAGCCUGCAAAUGCUUGGUUAUCCAAAAUUUUGGAGUUUUUGAGCCUUAAGAGCAUUAGAAUAAUUUUCUUCAUUUUGGGGGCUGUUUUGACUUAAUGCAUCAUUUUGUUAUUGUUUACUUGUCAAACUAAGAUUAUAGUUGUAAUGUAGAAGUUAGAAGGAGGGUUUUGGCAUAAUUUUUAUGAUUUUUGGUGAAGGUUUAAGGGUUUUAAAAGGAUAAAAAACUGGGCUGUUUUUUGGCAUUUUGGCCACCUUCGGGUCAUUUUUUGUAAAAACUAACUUAAAAAAUGGAUUCAACGCGAAAAAUCGAGUGAGGGAGUGUAUUUUGGUGAAAUUUUGUGAUCGGAAAAAUCGCCGGCGACCGGCGGUGGCGGUGCCGGCGCCGCCAUGUCAGCCAUGGCUGGCGGUAGCGAGGAGCUUCAGCUGGCCAGGCAAGAAGAAGAAGAAACGGAAGGGGAGGAAGAAGAAAGAAAAGAAAGGAAAGAAAAGAAAAGAAGAAAAAAAAUGGUUUGGGCUAAUUUUUUUUUUUAAGGUGGGCUUGUGGUUAUUUUUUGGUUGGGUUUUGGUUUAUUUCUUUUGUGUUUCGGUUUGGGGUAGGAGGUCAGAGUUCAUGCAUUUUUGGUUGGGCUUGAAUGAUAAAAAGACGGGCUGGCCUGCUCGCUUCUCCUGGGUUUCGGCUGGGCUUAGGAAUUUUUGGCCCGAGUAAAAAAAAUAAAAGAGGCCCGAUGCCUUUUUCUUGCCCAAAUCAGAAACCGAAAUUUGCACUUUAGCCCCUGAUCUUUGGAGUAGUUUUACUACGGCCCAAAAUAUUUUAAAUUUCUUUCAAUUAGGUCCUUAAUUUAAUUGUAAUUUGGUCCUUAAAUUUUUAUUUUUAUUUAAUUUUGACCCCUAAACUUUAGAAAAAUUAUAUUUUGACCCUAAAAGUUUUUCAAUUUUUGCAAUUUAGUCUCUAGUGAAUUUUGACUCUCUUUAUUAUGAUUGUUUCUUUUCUUUAAUAGCUAAUUAUGAUACUUUUGAAUAUAUUUAACUUGUAAUUUUUAGAUGUUCUUCAAUUUCUUUACAUUUGACAUAUUAAUGUGAAUUUAGUAUUUUUAUUAUUAUUAUUAUUUUCAAUUAAAUUGGUGUCAUGAUUCUUUUGUUCAUUUUGAGUAUAAAUAGGCCAAUUUGACUUCCAUUUAGUCACCACUUCAAAAGGAAGGUAUCCCUAUUAUUAUUCAAAUGUUCAUUACGUGCUCUUAUGUGCUCCUAUGUGUUUAUAUUUUUUUUACAUGCUUUGUUAUUUAUUUGAUUCAAAUCUUCAUUCAAAUUUUCUUAUAUUUGUUUAGUUAAUUUUUAUAAUUAUUUGGGAGGUAUUUAAAUACCUCAAAAAUGUAAUAGAUAGGAUAAUUAGAUUUGUUUUAUUUUAUUUUUCCAUUUUAGACUGUAGUAAGGGUCUCCGAUGUAAUAGGUAGGUUGUGUGUUUAUGUGGCUUAUGUGUUAUAUGCUUUAUCCGCUUUCCUUAGGAUUUUUUCAUCUAGAUAUUAUGUUUACGUGUUACGUGCUAUGUGCUCUUAUGUAUUUAUUUGUUUUAAUUUAUGCCUUAUUUGUUUUAUUAUGUAUUAUUAAUGCAUGACGUCACCACACUAGUCCAACGCUAGUUGUUUCUUCUCCCUCCGUUUACUUGCUAGUCCAACGCUAGUAAGGAUUUUUAAAAAUGGGUUAAUCCAACGCUAGACUUUUAGAUUGUUCACGCAUUAGAUUCAUCUUUUGUAUGAUAUCCAUUACAUUUUUAUGCAUAUUUUUAUUUUUUUAGGAUCUUUUCUCAUUUGCAUGAUAUUUUUUAUUACAUUAUCUCCUACCCUUUAUAUGUGUUAAUCAUAUCAUUUAGAAUUGCAUCUCAUUUAAGAAAUUGUAAAAUAAGUUAAUUCAUUUGUUUGUUUAUAUUAGGAGAAUCAUUCAUUGAACAUGGAUAUGGGUGAUUAUAACUUUUUAAUUUAAAUACCCUAUUAAUCCCUGUAUAAAAAUUAUGUCAUGAAUUUUUGCCUCUCAUACCCGUUAUGUUGCAUUUUCUAUUCUUUGGCCACUUAUACUUAUAUAUAUAAUUUAAUUUUUUUUAAUUUUAUCAUUUGCAUACUCGUGGCUCCUUCAAAAAACUAUUUUGGUCUUCGCAAUUAAUGUGAUUGGUAUUAGUUAAACCCUUGAAUGAAUAUUUUGUCCCUCUCGAUGUUUUUUAUAAAUUUAGAUUUGCAUUCAUGUAGGAAACAUUCAAAUGUGAUAAAUUUAAGUGUUAGAUUAGGAAAAUUUUUGACUAAACCUCGUAAUUGGCUUAAACUAAGUUGAAAGGGUGCCUUAAAUUCGAGUCAAUCGAACUUUUGCCUUCCCUUUCUUCAAUUGUGACUUCCGAACUCAUUUUCUAUUAUUUUCAAAGAUUUGGAAUUGUCGAAAAGGGUUUUAUUUUAUUUAUUUUUACUUUAUUUUUGUUAGAAGUACUUUGAGGGUGACUUGGUACAUAAAAACUCAAUUCCAAGUGACGGCUCCUCUUUUUCUUAAAAAACCCUUUUAGCCUAAAUUUUGGACCCAAACUGUCGCAUUCUUUAAAGUCUUGUUUUAGGUCCUUUUUUACUCUUUUUUUAAAUAAAAUCAUAUCUUUUGUAAACACUAUAUUUUUCAUUGCAAAAAAUGGGCCGUGACACCAAUAUUCCAUUUAAUAGCUAUUCACCAAAAGAGAAAAAGGAAACCUUGUAUGUCAUCCUUGACCAUUUAAUCACAACUAGGUUCUCAUUAUCGGUCCCAAUAUAGACUCAAGUUGUGUUUGAUAAAACUGAAAAUUGAAUCUAUUAAAUUAUUGAAUUAUUAAGUAUCAAAUAUAUUAUAUUUGAAUGUAUAUCACAUUCACUGAUAAGUGAAUAACUUAUCACUUAAUUUUAAAAAUAAAUUUUGCUUAUAAAGUUUAGUGCAACUUAAUUAAUUAAGAUAUUCAAUUUUUGGUUAUCAAACGAUCUGAAUAUGAUAAUAUCUGAUUUCAUUAAAUUUAAGUGUCGAAUUGGGUUAUUAAACAGGUCUCAAUUUGAAUUGCUUAUUUGUAAAAUACAUAAGCACCUAUUCAAUUGGUCAUAGAAAUUUCAAAUUGGUUAACCUCCCCCACAUGUUUCAACUUUUUUUUAAACUAAUUAACUUUCCAUUGAAAUAAAGAAUCAUUCUGGUUGAAUGGUUGGAUUUGAAAGAUUUCCCUUGAGCAAUUUGAAAAGAAGUAGAAACAGCAAAUAAAUGUGCGUUUGCGUGUAUUUUUUUUAAUUUUUUUGAUAAAUUAUUUCACGUAAUGCAUUAAAAUUUAAGGAUCGACUUGUUGAAAAUUAACGAUGUGGAGGCUAAUUUGUUAGCUAAAAAACGUUGGACGACAACUAUAUUGCUCAUUUGCACAAUUUAUUUAUUUUGUUCUUUGUCAGUUUUUUCAUUUAUGAAGCUUUUACUCCCCCUGGGCCGUGGAUGCUUGAAGUCCAUAACCAGCCCUACUCCUAGUGCAGUUGCACGAAGAACAUAGACCGCCGCCUUUCAAGAUCGAUUCACUGAAGCUAAGGACACGGCGGAGCAGACAAUUAAGUCUAAGUGGCCUUCCCACAUAACACUGGUGGAGCAGAACCCACCGGUCUCCGCCGGAGGAGAGCUAAAACACCUCUGAAAGAACAAAAAAACUUUGUUGCUUCCGCCAAAGAAGGCGAACCUUUUCUAAGGACAAGGAUGCAGUACCAUAAAAGCAAUGCAUACACGAACAAGGUAUUUGCUUGAUAAAUUAACAACUUGCGAUUAAUCCUUCACUGUUUUCUUUUAGUUCCUGGUUUCUUUCAAUAAAUGAUAGUCUACUUUAACGGUGAAGGAAGUGAUGGCAUAAGUAAAAGGUAUGAGCAGGAUGAAUUGAUGGUAGUAAUGGGGUAAAAGUAGGAACGGAAGAAAAUCAAAAGAAAGAAAGAAAGAAGAGGGCCCCUGUUCUUGUACAAGUUGUUGCAAUGUAACAUUCGCUACCUCUUCGAGAGCAAUAUUACACCAUUGCUUAAAUAAGACUGGUGUAAUGGGUUGUAAUAAAAGGCGUGGGUUGCAUUCUAGAAUUGAAUGCUAACCUAGACUUCGCCCUACAUUAUUUGCUUUUACCCCGUUUCAGCUGCCAUCAAUUUUCCAGCAAUGAUCAAACCUUAUUGCUGAUCCUUUAAUUGUAUUACUUAAAAUUUUUUCUUUACGGGCUUUUAUAUUUUGCAAUGCCGUUUUUGAAGUUAUUUCUCACUUUACUGCAUUUUCCUGAUUAAAUUCAAAAGAAGCCCUUUUUUUUGGGUGGUAUCAGGUGUGUACUAGAUUUAAGACUGUUUUUUUACUGUCAAUACGAUCUAUAUUGCAUUUUUUGUCACUUUGUCUUGAAACGCAAGUCAUGGAUGAUUAGAUCAUUUCUUGAGGAAAGUAUGUUUAUCACAUGACCUUAUGAACAUUUGAUUAGUUAGUUGCAGUUACUUUGAAGCUGGAUUAGUUUCACUUGCUACUUAUAUUAAUCUGCAAGAAAAUGCUUUUUUUCAUGUUAUGAAUAGAGUGAUUCAGUGGUUAAUUUCUUGUUUUAAUGUUGCUGAUCAUGGAAUGCCUGUGCUUUGUUUUUUGAACUGUUUUCUGGUAUAUGAGAUACAUAUUUCUGACGAAUUUAGACUUUGAACAAUGCGGCUGAAAAUCAAAUCUUGUCGUUGUUGAGGAGGAGGGGAUGCGAUUGUCUUAUGCUGUAUGAUACAGUGUUGGUUGGGUACAAACUAUCUUCUGUAUGCAAGGACAUGAUAUUUCUGAGAAAUGAUGGUGAUACUGAUGGUCAUCCACAUUGGGUUAAAGGCCCAAGAGUCAGGAUAAGGUUUAAGGCAACUACCUUUUGUCUAGGAAACUGUUUGGCAAUAUAUUUCAGAGUGACCAAAGUUAGCAUUCUACAGUAUUCCACUUUUUUGGCUUUAAUCCCCUUGUAACUGUCAUCCAUCUACGUGUAUGUAGAUUUAAAGAUAAAGGGAUGAAAGGAAUUAAUGAUCUUAUGUGAUAAUCUUCUCAAAGUAUUUUGCUUGCCAAGUUUCAGAUAUAUUCACUAGCAAACGAAUUUUCAUGCGUCAGAUUGUUACUUCCUGAAAUUCAAUUACAUUUUGUGGCUAACUUUGCUAAGCGCAACACCAUUGAUAUGCAUGAGGUGAAAUACUUUUAGCUACAGGCUAUUUGCUUCUGCGAGUCAAAAGAGAAACCAGGAACAUGGAUGGAGUGCAUGCAUAUCAAUUAUACUCCAUUUCAUCUCUUGUGCAAAUAAAAGGUCUUCCUUAAUCCAUAAUUUGCAGGAUGACUGUUUUCCUGGUGUGCAGAAUUCUGCUAGUAUUGAGGGUUUGGUAUGGUCCAACGAUUGUAGAACGUGAUUACUGAAUGCUGAUGGUAGGUAAGAUUGCUAACCUGUUGGAGCUGGAGAUUGACAGCACUGAUUGAGUUUUCCACUUGCUCCAACCAAUUUUGAUUUGCAUGUGAACCCAAUUUCCAAACUUAUUGUUCUCCUUAGGCAGUGUCAGUUGACAGGAUGCCAGUCCUUGCUGGGCCCUACUUAUUAUAGGUUAUGUAUAUGUUUUUACUAACGUUUGGUAGAACAUCUAGUUUAAUGGAACUUCUCUCGGAGGUUUUUGCUUUUCAGAAGUGAGGCUGGUGACCUGGCUAGGCAUAACUUACAAUGUAUCUUGAAUUCUUACAGUUUACAAAUGUGACGCCUCUUGGUUCAAGUCCUCCUCUUCUAUUCUCCUGGCUCUUUCUGAUAGGUUAAUUUUCAGUGCUAAUGCAACUGCUUCAAUUUGAAAGGAUCCCAUUAGUUCCAAGAGUUUGAGGUCACUUGGCUUAAAAUCCUUAAUUUCUGAUGUGGAAAUCUACAGCUUCUGGUGGUUUCCUAUUUGUGUUAUCAUGUUAUCUUGUAAAAGAUUUCAGUUAUAUAUGCUAUAUAAUAAAAGCUUUUUUGCUAGCAAAAAUCAACUUUGUAGUAACUGAAUCCUUAAGUUUGAUGUAUUGGCCUUUUCUGACUUCGGGAUUAUUUGGAUGUUGUCUAUAGACUAACACAAAUUUACAGUAUUUUUGGAUUUGGAGUUUUUCUAAAUAUGUUUUUUGGUGUGGUAUUUUUGGGGUAUUUUUGAUGCAUG
Molecule: long non-coding RNA, 6838 nt
Filed under: Coffea arabica (coffee)
Lineage: Eukaryota; Viridiplantae; Streptophyta; Magnoliopsida; Gentianales; Rubiaceae
Description: long non-coding RNA (CARA_LNC002045)
Source: RNAcentral